ACCAGACUCCUACGGGAGGCAGCAGUGGGGGAUAUUGCACAAUGGGGGGAACCCUGAUGCAGCGACGCCGCGUGGGUGAAGGAGCGUUUCGGCGCGUAAAGCCCUAUCGGCAGGGAAGAAGGAGGACGGUACCUGACUAAGAAGCCCCGGCUAACUACGUGCCAGCAGCCGCGGUAAUACGUAGGGGGCAAGCGUUAUCCGGAUUUACUGGGUGUAAAGGGAGCGUAGACGGCAGUGCAAGUCCGGAGUGAAAGCCCGGGGCUCAACCCUGGGACUGCUCUGGAAACUGUAAAGCUGGAGUGCGGGAGGGGCAGGCGGAAUUCCUGGUGUAGCGGUGAAAUGCGUAGAUAUCAGGAGGAACACCGGCGGCGAAGGCGGCCUGCUGGACCGUAACUGACGUUGAGGCUCGAGAGCGUGGGGAGCAAACAGGAUUAGAUACCCGGGUAA
Molecule: ribosomal RNA, 447 nt
Filed under: uncultured bacterium
Lineage: Bacteria
Description: partial 16S ribosomal RNA
Rfam family: Bacterial small subunit ribosomal RNA
Source: RNAcentral